CCUCCGCCACAUCCUCCGCCAGAGCAAGGUGGGGAGUCGGCGAGUGAAGUUGUGCGAAGAGGCUUGUCUGGCCCACUACCCCCGUCUGGCCGUGCGUGAACCACCAUAUAUACAUUGAAAUAAUUUGUGUUUCUUGAAGCCUAGAAUUGUCAAGUGUGGAGAGUAAUCUGUGUAAUACACGUUGUUGAACCCAGUGAAAUUGGUCUUGCAGGAAUCCAGUUGGACCUCUUCAUCAUCACAGCCUAAGAGAGGUGAAGGCCGCCAUCAUGGGAAAGAGUAUGGGAGAGGUAGCUGUGUCGGAAGAGAUGCUCUCCCGCACCCAGCAAUAUGAUGAGUUGUUGGUGACCUUAAACCUAGACAGUGAUCAGCGACCCAAUGUGGUUGCUUCACGCCCAGGCAGUGGUCCAGGACGCAAUGAUGGUGCUUCACGCCCAGGCAGUGGUCCAGGACGCAAUGAUGGUGCUUCACGCCCAGGCUGUGAUCCAGGACGCAAUGAUGGUGCUUCACGCCCAGGCAGUGAUCCAGGACGCAAUGAUAGUGCUUCACGCCCAGGCAGUGAUCCAGGACGCAAUGAUGGUGCUUCACGCCCAGGCUGUGAUCCAGGACGCAAUGAUGGUGCUUCACGCCCAGGCAGUGAUCCAGGACGCAAUGAUAGUGCUUCACGCCCAGGCAGUGAUCCAGGACGCAAUGAUAGUGCUUCACGCCCAGGCAGUGAUCCAGGACGCAAUGAUGGUGCUUCACGCCCAGGCAGUGAUCCAGGACGCAAUGAUAGUGCUUCACGCCCGGGCAGUGGUCCAGGACGCAAUGAAAGUGCUUCACGCCCGAGCAGUGGUCCAGGACGCAAUGAUAGUGCUUCACGCCCAGGCUGUGAUCCAGGACGCAAUGAUAGUGCUUCACGCAGUACUUCUUCCAGACAGUGUGAAAGGAGAAGCGAAGAGGGCGGGACCGUAGAGGAGUCAUGGCUGCUUCACCAGGCUGCUCUUCUGCGCCAGGACCGCAUCUUACUGGGCUAUGGCCACAGCUCAGGAUGGAAGCAAGUUGAUGAAGAACUUUGUCGGGAUGCGGACGGUGCCUUCAGCAGCUGUACUGGACGAGGAGAUGACAGCUGCCCGACACGCCCAGGCACACCACACCUCUACCUACCUACGUACUCAGCAGCAGCAGCAGCAGCAGCAGCAGCAGGAAGAGGAGGAGGAGGAUGAGUCUCUACCUGAUAUACUCAACUAUGAUGACUUUGACCCGGUGCUUGUGAGGGAUCCUGCAACUGGCCUGUGGUUCUGACGCUGAUAAGGAAUGACAAAAAAUAGUGGAACAAUUUUCAAAGAGGGUGUUGUGUGUGUGUGUUGCCUGCGUGAGAGCGUCUGAGGGAGCACCACCACAAGGCAAGAGAAGGGAAAUGUUCCACAACACUGUGAUGGUACAACUUUAUAAUGUUGGUAACUAGUCAUAUAAAUGUAUCUAACUAAGGAAAUUAUUUAGCCAACUUUGGCAUAUAAUUUUUACCUCAUAAACAAUGCAUACAAAA
Molecule: non-coding RNA, 1525 nt
Organism: Procambarus clarkii (red swamp crayfish)
Lineage: Eukaryota; Metazoa; Arthropoda; Malacostraca; Decapoda; Cambaridae
Source: RefSeq, a predicted model, not a curated record